GCACCACAAGAGGUGGGACCUGCGGUUCAAUUGGAUUCAACGCCGGAAAACUCACCAGGGGCGACAGUUGGAUGAAAGCCAGGUUGACGAUCUUGCAAGACUAGCUGAGAGGUGGUGCAUGGCCAUCGUCAGCUCGUACCGUGAGGCGUCCUGUUAAGUCAGGCAACGAGCGAGAUCCUCGCCCUUAGUUGCCAUCGGUGGAAAGCCGGGCACUCUAAGGGGACCGCUGGCGCUAAGUCAGAGGAAGGAGAGGGCGACGGUAGGUCAGUAUGCCCCGAAUCCCCUGGGCUACACGCGGGUCACAAUGCGCAGGACAAUGAGAUGCAACCCCGUAAGGGGAAGCCAAACCCUUAAACCUGCGCUCGGUUCGGAUCGAGGGCUGUAACUCGCCCUCGUGAAGCUGGAAUCUCUAGUAAUCGCGUGCCAACACCGCGCGGUGAAUGCGUCCCUGCUCCUUGCACACACCGCCCGUCAAGCCACUCGAGUAGGGUCUGGAUGAGGCUAGUUCAAGUUGGGCUGUUCGAAUCCGGGUUUUGCAAGAGGGCUU
Molecule: ribosomal RNA, 547 nt
Filed under: uncultured archaeon
Lineage: Archaea
Description: bacterial SSU rRNA
Rfam family: Archaeal small subunit ribosomal RNA
Source: RNAcentral